Long non-coding RNA from Carassius carassius (crucian carp), 243 nucleotides. RefSeq lists it as uncharacterized. The transcript is spliced from 3 exons. The record is from RefSeq and is a predicted model, not a curated record. NCBI's taxonomy places the organism in Eukaryota, Metazoa, Chordata, Actinopteri, Cypriniformes, Cyprinidae.
GAGGCGCAAUUCCUCCAAAAGUGGAUGGGAGCAUUUUGUUUCCACUUCUGGUUUGGCCAUAACUGCCAAACAGGCAAAGAAAAAAUGGAAUAACCUAAAAGAUAAAUACAAGGAGCUUAGGGACCCACCCACAGGAAAAGGGGUAGAGGCCGGUAGUGUGACUGCUGCCACCUGGCAGUGGUACACUGCAAUGGAUGCUGCACUCCAGGGGCAGCACUCAGUUACUAUGCCCAUAGUUGUUGC